This 430-nucleotide ribosomal RNA is filed under the name uncultured bacterium. RNAcentral's name for it is "bacterial SSU rRNA". It matches the Rfam family "Bacterial small subunit ribosomal RNA", at positions 355 to 776 of the family's 1533-position model. The record is from RNAcentral.
UGAGGAAUAUUGCGCAAUGGGGGAAACCCUGACGCAGCAACGCCGCGUGAGUGAGGAAGGUUUUCGGACCGUAAAGCUCUGUCGAGCGGGAAGAAGUGUAUCAUGGCUAAUAUCCAUGGUAUUUGACGGUACCGCUAGAGGAAGCACCGGCUAACUCCGUGCCAGCAGCCGCGGUAAUACGGGGGGUGCAAGCGUUGUUCGGAAUUAUUGGGCGUAAAGAGCGUGUAGGCGGCUGGAUAAGUCAGAUGUGAAAGCCCUGGGCUUAACCUAGGAAGUGCAUUUGAAACUAUUCAGCUAGAGUAAGGGAGAGGAAAGUGGAAUUCCUGGUGUAGAGGUGAAAUUCGUAGAUAUCAGGAGGAACACCGGUGGCGAAGGCGACUUUCUGGCCCUAUACUGACGCUGAGACGCGAGAGCGUGGGUAGCAAACAGG